This 229-nucleotide unclassified non-coding RNA is filed under the name Hevea brasiliensis (rubber tree). The record is from RNAcentral. Lineage: Eukaryota; Viridiplantae; Streptophyta; Magnoliopsida; Malpighiales; Euphorbiaceae.
AGCACCAGAGGCAAGUAGAUCUCCUGCAUUGUAUGAAGAGUUAUAUAAUUUCGAAUAAAGAAAGGAAAAGGACUUAUAAGAAAGAUGAAGUAAGCAAGAUUGCAAAAUUAUUUUAUGAUACAAUGAGAUGAGCCCUUUAUGUAGACAUACUAGAGAAAUGGUACAUAUAUAGAAGACUAUAUUCAGAAGACAAAUGAUUGGAAUGAUGCCAAAGUGGCCUUGACCUACA